GUGGGGAAUAUUGGACAAUGGGCGAAAGCCUGAUCCAGCCAUGCCGCGUGUGUGAAGAAGGUCUUCGGAUUGUAAAGCACUUUAAGUUGGGAGGAAGGGCAGUAAGUUAAUACCUUGCUGUUUUGACGUUACCGACAGAAUAAGCCCCGGCUAACUACGUGCCAGCAGCCGCGGUAAUACGUAGGGGGCAAGCGUUGUCCGGAAUGAUUGGGCGUAAAGGGCGCGUAGGCGGCAUGGUAAGUCUGGAGUGAAAGUCCUGCUUUUAAGGUGGGAAUGGCUUUGGAUACUGUCGGGCUUGAGUGCAGGAGAGGUAAGUGGAAUUCCCGGUGUAGCGGUGAAAUGCGUAGAGAUCGGGAGGAACACCAGUGGCGAAGGCGACUUACUGGACUGUAACUGACGCUGAGGCGCGAAAGUGUGGGGAGCAAACAGGAUUAGAAACCCCUGUAGUCC
RNAcentral lists this ribosomal RNA (450 nucleotides) under uncultured bacterium. RNAcentral describes it as "bacterial SSU rRNA". It matches the Rfam family "Bacterial small subunit ribosomal RNA", at positions 354 to 796 of the family's 1533-position model. The record is from RNAcentral.